CACGUAGGGUGCGAGCGUUGUCCGGAAUUAUUGGGCGUAAAGAGCUCGUAGGCGGUGUGUCGCGUCGGCCGUGAAAACCUGCAGCUUAACUGUGGGCUUGCGGUCGAUACGGGCAUCACUGGAGUUCGGCAGGGGAGACUGGAAUUCCUGAUGUAGCGGUGAAAUGCGCAGAUAUCAGGAGGAACACCGGUGGCGAAGGCGGGUCUCUGGGCCGAUACUGACGCUGAGGAGCGAAAGCGUGGGGAGCGAACAGG
RNAcentral lists this ribosomal RNA (254 nucleotides) under uncultured bacterium. Its description in RNAcentral is "partial 16S ribosomal RNA". It matches the Rfam family "Bacterial small subunit ribosomal RNA", at positions 524 to 776 of the family's 1533-position model. The record is from RNAcentral.